Molecule: long non-coding RNA, 298 nt
Organism: Oncorhynchus nerka (sockeye salmon)
Lineage: Eukaryota; Metazoa; Chordata; Actinopteri; Salmoniformes; Salmonidae
Exons: 3
Source: RefSeq, a predicted model, not a curated record
GUAUCCUCCAUCAGGUGACUGCUGCUCUGGCUGUGGCUGAACAGGAGCUCUGCUUUGAACACAGAGACCUCCACUGGGGUAAUGUGUUGGUCAGUCCACUAAGGAGAAGAAGGGGAGUUUCCUCCUCAAUGGAACAAACCAUUCCUUUGAGACCAGGGGGGUGAGCGUACGCAUCAACUACUCCCUCUCCAGGCUCGAGAUCGAUGGUCUCACCGUGUCCUGUGACAUCUCAGAGGAUGAGGAGUUGUUCCAGGGCCAUGGAGACCUGCAGUUUGACAUCUACAGACUCAUGAGACAG